This 588-nucleotide ribosomal RNA is filed under the name Triticum aestivum (bread wheat). Its description in RNAcentral is "partial small subunit ribosomal RNA". The record is from RNAcentral. Lineage: Eukaryota; Viridiplantae; Streptophyta; Magnoliopsida; Poales; Poaceae.
AUGGCCAACAUCCAACCAACCAGAUCCAGUGGGGGAGGAACAGAAGGGGUCAAAACAGUUAUGUCCUACAGAAGCUUAUUGGAUAUCAAAACCUUGCUCUUCUUUAAAGCCAAGAUUUGGUCUGCAGGCGAAGAACGAAGUUGCCGGGGCCGCCACGGAGCUGUCCGCUUCGCCGUGCCCGCCUGCGAGCGUGUGCGCACAGUCACUCCGGCGUUAUGCUUAUCGGCAAAGCUCCCUCGGCGAGCAUCCUCGCUCCUGUGGCUCACAUUCUGGGAGGGAAGUUCUGUGGUGAUACAAGAGUUUGCGGUUUCUCUCCUGCUUUUGCCUGGAGUCCACGGCACCCAGCCCAGCCCAAGCCAAGUGCAGGCUGCUGUUGUUACAUGGUCCUCCUGGCAACUACCAGAUUCAGAUGCUGCUCACCGGGGCCUGCCCGGUGCAACUGGCCGUGGGAUCGUAUCGUAUCCCCUGAGCUUUCCUGUCUACCGCAACUGGACUUGGAAACAGAACAAGGGUUGUUUACUUUAUACAGACCUCAAGAAGGUUAUGAUAUACAUAAGAGGAGAAUGUAAAACUAAUGAUAAAUGCUAG